GACGAACGCUGGCGGCGUGCCUAACACAUGCAAGUCGAGCGAAUGAAGUUCCUUCGGGAAUGGAUUUAGCGGCGGACGGGUGAGUAACACGUGGGCAACCUGCCUCAUAGAGGGGAAUAGCCUUCCGAAAGGGAGAUUAAUACCGCAUAAGAUUGUAGUAUCGCAUGAUACAGCAAUUAAAGGAGCAAUCCGCUAUGAGAUGGGCCCGCGGCGCAUUAGCUAGUUGGUGAGGUAACGGCUCACCAAGGCGACGAUGCGUAGCCGACCUGAGAGGGUGAUCGGCCACAUUGGGACUGAGACACGGCCCAGACUCCUACGGGAGGCAGCAGUGGGGAUUAUUGCACAAUGGGGGAAACCCUGAUGCAGCAACGCCGCGUGAGUGAUGACGGCCUUCGGGUUGUAAAGCUCUGUCUUCAGGGACGAUAAUGACGGUACCUGAGGAGGAAGCCACGGCUAACUACGUG
Molecule: ribosomal RNA, 464 nt
Filed under: uncultured bacterium
Lineage: Bacteria
Description: partial 16S ribosomal RNA
Rfam family: Bacterial small subunit ribosomal RNA
Source: RNAcentral